UACGAAGGGUGCAAGCGUUACUCGGAAUUACUGGGCGUAAAGCGUGCGUAGGCGGUUUGUUAAGUCUGAUGUGAAAGCCCUGGGCUCAACCUGGGAAUGGCAUUGGAUACUGGCAGGCUAGAGUGCGGUAGAGGGUAGUGGAAUUCCCGGUGUAGCAGUGAAAUGCGUAGAGAUCGGGAGGAACAUCUGUGGCGAAGGCGACUGCCUGGACCAGCACUGACACUGAGGCACGAAAGCGUGGGGAGCAAACAGG
Molecule: unclassified non-coding RNA, 253 nt
Filed under: uncultured Lysobacteraceae bacterium
Lineage: Bacteria; Pseudomonadati; Pseudomonadota; Gammaproteobacteria; Lysobacterales; Lysobacteraceae
Description: uncultured Xanthomonadaceae bacterium contains 16S-23S intergenic spacer region
Rfam family: Bacterial small subunit ribosomal RNA
Source: RNAcentral